Molecule: ribosomal RNA, 305 nt
Filed under: uncultured bacterium
Lineage: Bacteria
Description: partial 16S ribosomal RNA
Rfam family: Bacterial small subunit ribosomal RNA
Source: RNAcentral
ACAGCAGCAGCCGCGGGAAUACGAAGGGGGCUAGCGUUGUUCGGAUUUACUGGGCGUAAAGCGCACGUAGGCGGACUUUUAAGUCAGGGGUGAAAUCCCGGGGCUCAACCCCGGAACUGCCUUUGAUACUGGAAGUCUUGAGUAUGGUAGAGGUGAGUGGAAUUCCGAGUGUAGAGGUGAAAUUCGUAGAUAUUCGGAGGAACACCAGUGGCGAAGGCGGCUCACUGGACCAUUACUGACGCUGAGGUGCGAAAGCGUGGGGAGCAAACAGGAUUAGAUACCCCAGUAGUCCCUGUCUCUUAUAC